GAUCGUGACGAGGGGCGCCCGGAUACGGGCUGAGAUGCACCCUUAGAACCUGAUCUGGGUCAUUCCAGCGUAGGGACGUCGAUCGGAAAACCU
This 93-nucleotide non-coding RNA is filed under the name Methylobrevis pamukkalensis. Its description in RNAcentral is "TPP sequence". It matches the Rfam family "TPP riboswitch aptamer (THI element)". From Rfam's summary of the family: Vitamin B(1) in its active form thiamin pyrophosphate (TPP) is an essential coenzyme that is synthesised by coupling of pyrimidine and thiazole moieties in bacteria. The previously detected thiamin-regulatory element, thi box was extended, resulting in a new, highly conserved RNA secondary structure, the THI element, which is widely distributed in eubacteria and also occurs in some archaea. Analysis of operon structures identified a large number of new candidate thiamin-regulated genes, mostly transporters, in various prokaryotic organisms. Lineage: Bacteria; Pseudomonadati; Pseudomonadota; Alphaproteobacteria; Hyphomicrobiales; Pleomorphomonadaceae. The record is from Rfam by way of RNAcentral.